Dermacentor albipictus is the source of this 1243-nucleotide long non-coding RNA. RefSeq lists it as uncharacterized. The record is from RefSeq and is a predicted model, not a curated record. Lineage: Eukaryota; Metazoa; Arthropoda; Arachnida; Ixodida; Ixodidae.
UAUAAGACGCUUUUCACUUCGGCGUAUUCACGUUUAGUACGACCCCAAGCGAGGCCGAUGCGAACUUCGGCACACAACUGAAGACGUCAUUCUACAUCGAAUACAAGACGAGCAGCGUGCACUUGAAUGAAGGCCACAAAGCGAGCGCAAUGAGAGGGACAGGAGAGACUACAAUAAUGUUUGUCGCCGCUUUCUUCACGACCCUGAUGGCUUCCUGCUUGGCUUCUUCUUAUGACCAAUGUCCAGGCCACCAGCUCGUAUCGGACGCUGCGAUUAAUUCUGCCAUCUCUUCAGUGAAGAACAUCUACUUCGUUGAGGAAUUCGGGCUCAACCAAUGGCGGUGGGGCCCUUUCGCCCUUAAUUUAACAUCAUCAUUCUUCUCCAUAGUGGGCACUUUCGAGCCUUUUACGCGAUACUGUAAAGGAGGGCACGCAAUGGUGGAUGCCGAACUUGAGUUUAACUGGUUCGUCAAUGUAAAAUGCACUAUUGGAGAUCGUGACAAUUUCCUGGGCGCUGCUCCUGUGUUUUUCAACAGAGCGGUAGCCAAGGUCCAGUACCAGUUGAAUUACUCCUCGGAAAAUGGAACUUUCACGUUGUACACAGCAGCAGUGCGUCCCACGUGGCAGGGGAUGAUUUCAGCCAGCUUCCACGCCAUUGAGGCGCGAUAUAAUAUGGAAUCUGUGGGUGUUCUUGUGAACCAGUUGGUUAAGCUUUACGCAAAUGAUAUACUUAGCUGGAUUUCGGAGCGUUCUGUUAUUGAGAAAGUUUUCGAGGGGCAAAUAAAUAAAAUGGCCCCCUUUUACCUAGGCUUGUAGAGCAAUUAUCCAUAAAGUGCACUAAGGUACAGUACCCAAAUAACAAAACAUCUCGUUAAAAACAUUACUAGCUGCAUUAUAUAUGUGUGGUUCAUUUAUUUCCAGUCAUGUGCAAGCAAAGAUGAUCCCAGCGCACGUGUACAAAUCUAAAUUAGUAACUUCAGCGUUCUCCUGAGGGUCGUGCUUCAAUAAUCUUCAAAAAAGUAAAAGUUUGGUUUCUCGAAAAAUUUCUGCGGGCAAUGAGGUUGAAUUCUGGCGAUCCUCCUGUGUGUGUCCUGGCAUCUAUGUCUGAAUGCGUUACGCUGAUCAUUCUAACGCAUCUGUCCUCGUGCGAAUGCCUACUUGUCUUAUUUUAUGUGCUCGCGAUUGUUACAUUUCAAUAAAUUUAGAGAAACUUCCGGAGGUUGUAAUUCAACGGAAGCACCCUG